Molecule: ribosomal RNA, 253 nt
Filed under: uncultured bacterium
Lineage: Bacteria
Description: partial 16S ribosomal RNA
Rfam family: Bacterial small subunit ribosomal RNA
Source: RNAcentral
UACAGAGGGUGCGAGCGUUAAUCGGAAUUACUGGGCGUAAAGCGUGCGUAGACGGUUAUUUAAGUCGGAUGUGAAAGCCCCGGGCUCAACCUGGGAAUUGCAUUCGAGACUGAAUAGCUAGGGUACGGUAGAGGGAAGUGGAAUUUCCGGUGUAGCGGUGAAAUGCGUAGAUAUCUGAAGGAACAUCAGUGGCGAAAGCGACUUCCUGGACCAGUACCGACGUUCAGGCACGAAAGCGUGGGGAGCAAACAGG